UACAGAGGUCUCAAGCGUUGUUCGGAUUCAUUGGGCGUAAAGGGUGCGUAGGUGGCGCCGUAAGUCAGGUGUGAAAUCUCGGGGCUUAACUCCGAAACUGCAUUUGAUACUGCGGUGCUUGAGGACUGGAGAGGAGACUGGAAUUUACGGUGUAGCAGUGAAAUGCGUAGAGAUCGUAAGGAAGACCAGUGGCGAAGGCGGGUCUCUGGACAGUUCCUGACACUGAGGCACGAAGGCCAGGGGAGCAAACGGG
This 253-nucleotide ribosomal RNA is filed under the name uncultured bacterium. RNAcentral describes it as "partial 16S ribosomal RNA". It matches the Rfam family "Bacterial small subunit ribosomal RNA", at positions 524 to 776 of the family's 1533-position model. The record is from RNAcentral.